GUGGAGGUAGCUCAGUAGUAGAGUGCUUGCCUUGCAUGCAUGAGGCCCUGGGUUCGAUUCCUCAGUACCACA
Molecule: transfer RNA, 72 nt
Filed under: Dipodomys ordii (Ord's kangaroo rat)
Lineage: Eukaryota; Metazoa; Chordata; Mammalia; Rodentia; Heteromyidae
Rfam family: tRNA
About the family: Transfer RNA (tRNA) molecules are approximately 80 nucleotides in length.
Source: Rfam by way of RNAcentral